Molecule: ribosomal RNA, 253 nt
Filed under: uncultured bacterium
Lineage: Bacteria
Description: partial 16S ribosomal RNA
Rfam family: Bacterial small subunit ribosomal RNA
Source: RNAcentral
UACGUAGGGGGCUAGCGUUGUCCGGAAUCAUUGGGCGUAAAGAGCGCGUAGGCGGCUAGAUAAGUCCGGUGUGAAAGUCACAGGCUCAACCUGUGAAUGCCGCUGGAAACUGUCUGGCUAGAGUCCGGAAGGGGCGAGUGGAAUUCCUGGUGUAGCGGUGAAAUGCGCAGAUAUUCGCAAGAACACCAGUGGCGAAGGCGGCUCACUGGCCCGGUACUGACGCUGAGGCACGAAAGCGUGGGGAGCAAACAGG